ACAAACAGCCAAACGUUCAGGUCGUUUACCGUUUUAGAAUUGCUACAGCUAGCCUGUUAGCUUGUCAUUAGCUAGAGUCUGCGACAUUUUUCCAGAUUUUCCUCUGAAAAUAGCGGCCAACUGGGAGCUGGAGGAGGGGAAGCCGGAUCUAACAAAUCAACAACCUGAUGAUUUCUGUUGACGCAGUGUUUACUGCUGACCACAUGAUGGCAGUGCAGCGUAGCGCAUGAAUCCCCACAGACACAGAGCCAUUGGAAUAAAGUCCCACCUGCAGGACAAGAUAGGACUGUUGAAGCUCCAGCAGAGGUGCCAGCCCCUGGCCUCUGAUCUGCCCACAAACAUCUGGCAGCUGCCAAGAGGGAGAGAGGGACAUGUAGGUGGUGUGGAGCGGAGAGGAAAGGAUGUUCUACUACAGGAGGCUGUGUGGGUGUUUGCUGCUGGCGAUGGAGCGCAGGGAUGAUCCGAGCUGCUGGUGGUACCUCUGUGGAGCCUUUCCACAUGGAUAAUUUCUGGAGCAGAUCCCAUAAAUACAAGCCUCCCUCUGUCUGUUUGAAAACCUCUCCAACAGCGAAUGGAUGCUGAGAGCACCGAGGCGUUUUACUGAGAGGCCUCAGUUCGCACAGUCGCCUGUUAAUAUUUACAUGUUAAUGGGAUUCAGAAACACUUGAUAUGUAAAAUAUGAGCUGCUUUUAAUCUGUCAGCCUCAGGAAGGCUUAAAUAGACCAAUACAAGUAUAACUGUAAGGUAAACGGAAUAUGACACAUGGUUUUCAACAUUUUCACAAUAAAAAAUCAACAUUG
Girardinichthys multiradiatus is the source of this 800-nucleotide long non-coding RNA. RefSeq lists it as uncharacterized. The record is from RefSeq and is a predicted model, not a curated record. The transcript is spliced from 2 exons. NCBI's taxonomy places the organism in Eukaryota, Metazoa, Chordata, Actinopteri, Cyprinodontiformes, Goodeidae.